Molecule: regulatory RNA element, 141 nt
Organism: Olsenella uli DSM 7084
Lineage: Bacteria; Bacillati; Actinomycetota; Coriobacteriia; Coriobacteriales; Atopobiaceae
Rfam family: FMN riboswitch aptamer (RFN element)
About the family: The RFN element is a highly conserved domain that is found frequently in the 5'-untranslated regions of prokaryotic mRNAs that encode for flavin mononucleotide (FMN) biosynthesis and transport proteins. This element is a metabolite-dependent riboswitch that directly binds FMN in the absence of proteins.
Source: Rfam
UGACAGUUUCAGGGCGGGGCGAAACUCCCCACCGGCGGUGACGGGCCCCGUGCCCCAAGUCCGCGCGCCACGACGAAAAGAGUGGCUGACCUGGUGAGACUCCGGGACCGACGGUUACAGUCCGGACGAGAGAAACGGAAG